GCACUAAUGGGGUAGUGGUAACCUGGGUCGUUGCCACACAGUGCAAGAUCGACCCGCCGGGGGUUCAAUUCCCCCUUAGUGCA
Molecule: non-coding RNA, 83 nt
Organism: Abortiporus biennis
Lineage: Eukaryota; Fungi; Basidiomycota; Agaricomycetes; Polyporales; Podoscyphaceae
Source: the annotation of a GenBank genome assembly